This 498-nucleotide ribosomal RNA is filed under the name uncultured bacterium. Its description in RNAcentral is "bacterial SSU rRNA". It matches the Rfam family "Bacterial small subunit ribosomal RNA", at positions 40 to 518 of the family's 1533-position model. The record is from RNAcentral.
CGGCGUGCUUAGCACAUGCAAGUCGAACGCGAAAGGGGACUUCGGUCCUGAGUAAAGUGGCGCACGGGUGAGUAACGCGUAGAUAACCUGUCUUCAUGUCUGGAAUAAUACGCCGAAAGGGGUACUAAUACCGGAUAUCUUGCUUUUCAUAAGUUAUGCAAGCAAAGGUGGCCUCUGCAUAUGCUACUGCAUGAAGAGGGGUCUGCGUACCAUUAGCUAGUAGGUGGGGUAAUGGCCUACCUAGGCGACGAUGGUUAGCGGGUCUGAGAGGAUGAUCCGCCACACUGGCACUGGAACACGGGCCAGACUCCUACGGGAGGCAGCAGUGAGGAAUAUUGCGCAAUGGGGGAAACCCUGACGCAGCGACGCCGCGUGAGUGAGGAAGGCCUUCGGGUCGUAAAGCUCUGUCAAGAGGAAAGAAGUGUACAAUGGCUAAUACCUGUUGUAUUUGACGGUACCUCUAAAGGAAGCACCGGCUAACUCCGUGCCAGCCGCCGC